UCAGCAGAAAACAUUCAAGAUAGGUUUGGUGCACACAGCGAUAAAAAAGUACCCCAUGCCCACAGUUAAAUAUACUGCUGGAUCUUUAAUCUUGUGGGCCUAUUUU
Molecule: long non-coding RNA, 106 nt
Organism: Sinocyclocheilus anshuiensis
Lineage: Eukaryota; Metazoa; Chordata; Actinopteri; Cypriniformes; Cyprinidae
Exons: 3
Source: RefSeq, a predicted model, not a curated record